Molecule: ribosomal RNA, 386 nt
Filed under: uncultured fungus
Lineage: Eukaryota; Fungi
Description: SSU rRNA
Rfam family: Eukaryotic small subunit ribosomal RNA
Source: RNAcentral
CUGGGGAACCUCAUGGCCUUCACUGGCUGUGGGGGGAACCAGGACUUUUACUGUGAAAAUUAGAGUGUUCAAAGCAGGCCUUUGCUCGAAUACAUUAGCAUGGAAUAAUAGAAUAGGACGUGUGGUUCUAUUUUGUUGGUUUCUAGGACCGCCGUAAUGAUUAAUAGGGAUAGUCGGGGGCGUCAGUAUUCAGCUGUCAGAGGUGAAAUUCUUGGGAUUUGCUGAAGACUAACUACUGCGAAAGCAUUUCGCCAAGGAUGUUUUCAUUAAUCAGGGAACGAAAGUUAGGGGAUCGAAGACGAUCAGAUACCGUCGUAGUCUUAACCAUAAACUAUGCCGACUAGGGAUCGGACGGGAUUCUAUAAUGACCCGUUCGGCACCUUACG